GAUGAACGCUGGCGGCAUGCCUAAUACAUGCAAGUCGGACGGGAAGGGGUGUUUCUUGUGGCGCUUGGGUGAGUAACGCGCGAGAACGUGACCCGUGGAUGGGAACCCCAGCAGGAAAGGGCUGCUAAUACAACGGAGGCCGAGUAGCAAAUGGAGGAAUCCGCCUGAGGAGGGGCACGUGACUGAUGAGCUAGCUUGUGAGGCAAUAGCUUACCGAGGCGAUGAUCAGUUGCUGGGCGGAGAGGAUGAUCAGCCACACUGUGACGGAGACACGGGCCAGGCUCCUUCGGGAAGCAGGAGAGGGCAGUUUGCCGCAAUGCGCGAGAGUGUAACAGGGCAUUGGCGCGUGGAGGUAGAAGGUCUACGGGUCGUGAACUUCUUAUCCCAAAGAAGAAGCAGUGACGGUAUCUGAGGAGAAAGCAACGGCUAACUAUGUG
RNAcentral lists this ribosomal RNA (437 nucleotides) under uncultured bacterium. Its description in RNAcentral is "partial 16S ribosomal RNA". It matches the Rfam family "Bacterial small subunit ribosomal RNA", at positions 28 to 507 of the family's 1533-position model. The record is from RNAcentral.